This is a long non-coding RNA of Penaeus monodon (black tiger shrimp), 2032 nucleotides long. RefSeq lists it as uncharacterized. The transcript has 2 exons. Lineage: Eukaryota; Metazoa; Arthropoda; Malacostraca; Decapoda; Penaeidae. The record is from RefSeq and is a predicted model, not a curated record.
ACACCUGUGGCUUCGCUGUGCUUGUGUCACUCCACCACCUGACUCGCUCCCUCUCUUCCCUCUCUCCUCUGCAGUAGCCCCGCGCCACCUGGCUCCCUUGCAUCAAAAGUCUCUUCCGCCAUCUGACUCUUCCUCAUACCUGUCUCUUGAGUUACCGCGACCACCUGCGCCUCCCUCUCGAACUCUCCUGAGACAAAUACACCGGGUUUUCCCUGACUUUCCUGCCUCUCCUCUUCAUCUAACAAUCCUUCCUGACCCUCCUGCCUCUGCCAAUUCUCAUUCACUUCAUCAACUCUUCCUCUCCCCCUCUCCCUUUUCGGCUGACAAAGUCUGCCCCACCUGCCACCUAAGAGACAGAAUCACCUCCCUGGCAAACCCUCCUCCGCCACCUACAACCCUCCACCUGCCACCUACCACCUCCCAAGACAGAAUCCAACACCACCUGACAGAACCCCCGCCCCCCUCGCCCACCACCUACCACCUGAAGUGAGAGAAUCCAGCACGACAAGGGGCCAGGAAUCCGCACGCAGGUCUUGCAGGACGGCCCCUCGCUCCUCGGGGAUGUGCUUGAUGGUGAUCACGGUGACGAUGGCGAUGGUAAUGGUGGAAGUAGCGUGAUAAGUGAUGACGGAUAAAUGGUAGUGGCUGAUGACGUUGGAUGUGAUGAUGAUGUAUAGUGAUGGUAGUCAUAUUGUAAAAGCAUUGAAAAUGAUGAUGAUAAUGAUACCAAGGAUAUCAUUAACAUUGUGAGUACCAAGGGUACUCACAAUGUUAAUUAUUGUACAAGUGUUGGCGAUGAUCAUUACGGCAAUCAUAAAAGUGAAAAUAACUGUGAAGAUCUUGAACUACAGAAAAGGGAGGAGGAAGGGAAUCAAAACACAAAACAUGGAUAUUAACCAUCUCUGAAUCCAAUAAACACUGAAAAGGCAUGAACAUUAUGAUGUAUAAAAUGUUAAGUUACAUAAUGGAACAAAACUAAGUCUGUCGUUCGUUGUAGUAUAAAAUGAAAAAAACAGCAAAAUAACACAGAGCCAUCUGCAAUACCUCAUGGUUGCAAAUAAUUUUCAGGAAUACCAAGUAAGCUGAGAAUAGUCAUUGCAAACAGAGAAUGCGGGUGGAAUAAAAAUAAAAAUAAAGAAAUAUAAAUACGAAUAAGACGAAAUAUAUUUCUUUUAUUCAAAGAGACGACAGGGUUUGUUAUGCAGUGUUCAAAUACAACGUUCGCACAAUUGUUUCUGUUAUUAUUUAGUCACUGUUUUUGUUCUUGCUCUGGUCAGGCUGAAUGUUCUUUUGUUUAUUAUUGUUUGUUUUUUUGCCCUUUCUUCCUUUGUUUUCUUUCUUCUUCUUCUUGUCUUUACGCGUAAUCAUAUCUUCUUUUCGUUACUGUACUUGCAUUUCUGUCCUUAUUCUGGACUUUGUCCUUGUGACUCUUCCAGUCAUUUCCACCACUGGUCUCGCUUCCCUUCUUUUCUCACGCCUGUUCUUGUCUCUUUUCUUUUCUCGGCCCUGUUCUUGUUUUCGUUUUCAUUUAUAUUCUUGUUCUUGGCGGUUUCUUUGUUCUUAUUCUUUCCGUCAUCCCUGUCCCUGCGUUCGUUAUUUACUACAUAUCUCCUUGGAAUUUCUAUCAGUAACUGCUCCCGGGCAUCCUGGUACCGUCUCCUUUUAGCUGUAGUCGAAAACGUCUGACAAAAAAUUAAACCAAAAAUCUAUUUCGGAAUUCUAAGCCUAUGUUUUAGGUAUAAAAGUAAAAUUAAUUUCAAAACUGUAAAUAUACAUUCCAUUUUUGAAAUCUACCUUUUAAAAAGCUCUCGAAGUCGUCUAAACCCAGUUUUCCGUUUAAAUGUAAAUUUUAUUUUUUCCAAAUCUUAAAUUAUUUUUUUCUUCCCAUAAUCAAACUACAAACUCGCCAGAAUCUUAAACAAAAACAGAAUUUAUUUCAAAAAGCAAAAAUCAAAUCUUCGAAUAUCUUUACAUCUUCAUGCUAUAUAUCUCAAAAAAAAAAAAAAAAAAAAAAAAAAAAAAAAAAAAAAAA